GGAUGUGGCGUUGCCCAGACAACUAGGAUGUUGGCUUAGAAGCAGCCAUCAUUUAAAGAGUGCGUAAUAGCUCACUAGUCGAGUGACCCUGCGCCGAAAAUGUACCGGGGCUAAACAUAUUACCGAAGCUGUGGAUUGUCCUUUGGACAAUGGUAGGAGAGCGUUCUAAGGGCGUUGAAGCAUGAUCGCAAGGACAUGUGGAGCGCUUAGAAGUGAGAAUGCCGGUAUGAGUAGCGAAAGACGGGUGAGAAUCCCGUCCACCGAUUGACUAAGGUUUCCAGAGGAAGGCUCGUCCGCUCUGGGUUAGUCGGGUCCUAAGCUGAGGCCGACAGGCGUAGGCGCUGGAUAACAGGUUGAUAUUCCUGUACCACCUAUAAUCGUUUUAAUCGAUGGGGGGACGCAGUAGGAUAGGCGAAGCGUACGAUUGGAUUGUACGUCUAAGCAGUGAGAUUGAGUGUUAGGCAAAUCCGGCACUCUUAAGAUUGAGCUGUGAUGGGGAGAGGAAAUUGUUUCCUCGAGUCGUUGAUUUCACACUGCCGAGAAAAGCCUCUAGAUAGAGAUUAGGUGCCCGUACCGCAAACCGACACAGGUAGUCAAGAUGAGAAUUCUAAGGUGAGCGAGCGAACUCUCGUUAAGGAACUCGGCAAAAUGACCCCGUAACUUCGGGAGAAGGGGUGCUCUUUAGGGUGCAAGCCCAGAAGAGCCGCAGUGAAUAGGCCCAAGCGACUGUUUAUCAAAAACACAGGUCUCUGCUAAACCGUAAGGUGAUGUAUAGGGGCUGACGCCUGCCCGGUGCUGGAAGGUUAAGAGGAGUGGUUAGCUUCUGCGAAGCUACGAAUCGAAGCCCCAGUAAACGGCGGCCGUAACUAUAACGGUCCUAAGGUAGCGAAAUUCCUUGUCGGGUAAGUUCCGACCCGCACGAAAGGCGUAACGAUUUGGGCACUGUCUCAACGAGAGACUCGGUGAAAUCAUAGUACCUGUGAAGAUGCAGGUUACCCGCGACAGGACGGAAAGACCCCGUGGAGCUUUACUGUAGCCUGAUAUUGAAAUUCGGCACAGCUUGUACAGGAUAGGUAGGAGCCUUUGAAACGUGAGCGCUAGCUUACGUGGAGGCGUUGGUGGGAUACUACCCUAGCUGUGUUGGCUUUCUAACCCGCACCACUUAUCGUGGUGGGAGACAGUGUCAAGCGGGCAGUUUGACUGGGGCGGUCGCCUCCUAAAAGGUAACGGAGGCGCUCAAAGGUUCCCUCAGAAUGGUUGGAAAUCAUUCAUAGAGUGUAAAGGCAUAAGGGAGCUUGACUGCGAGACGUACAGGUCGAGCAGGGACGAAAGUCGGACUUAGUGAUCCGGUGGUUCCGCAUGGAAGGGCCAUCGCUCAACGGAUAAAAGCUACCCUGGGGAUAACAGGCUUAUCU
Molecule: ribosomal RNA, 1415 nt
Filed under: human gut metagenome
Description: bacterial LSU rRNA
Rfam family: Bacterial large subunit ribosomal RNA
Source: RNAcentral